AUUGAACGCUGGCGGCAUGCUUUACACAUGCAAGUCGAACGGUAACAGGCCGCAAGGUGCUGACGAGUGGCGAACGGGUGAGUAAUGCAUCGGAACGUGCCCAGUCGUGGGGGAUAACUACUCGAAAGAGUAGCUAAUACCGCAUACGAUCUAUGGAUGAAAGCGGGGGACCGUAAGGCCUCGCGCGAUUGGAGCGGCCGAUGUCAGAUUAGGUAGUUGGUGGGGUAAAGGCUCACCAAGCCAACGAUCUGUAGCUGGUCUGAGAGGACAACCAGCCACACUGGGACUGAGACACGGCCCAGACUCCUACGGGAGGCGGCAGUGGGGAAUUUUGGACAAUGGGCGCAAGCCUGAUCCAGCAAUGCCGCGUGCAGGAAGAAGGCCUUCGGGUUGUAAACUGCUUUUGUACGGAACGAAACGGCUCUGGUUAAUACCCGGGGCUAAUGACGGUACCGUAAGAAUAAGCACCGGCUAACUACGUG
Molecule: ribosomal RNA, 482 nt
Filed under: uncultured bacterium
Lineage: Bacteria
Description: partial 16S ribosomal RNA
Rfam family: Bacterial small subunit ribosomal RNA
Source: RNAcentral